Emmonsiellopsis sp. PD_5 is the source of this 86-nucleotide non-coding RNA. Lineage: Eukaryota; Fungi; Ascomycota; Eurotiomycetes; Onygenales; Ajellomycetaceae. The record is from the annotation of a GenBank genome assembly.
GGGCGCUUGGUUUAGGGGUAUAACGUAUCACCCGCAUAGAUUAUGCUGUUAUGAUAAGGUCGCCGGUUCGAUUCCGGCAGCGUCCA